Molecule: non-coding RNA, 445 nt
Organism: Phascolarctos cinereus (koala)
Lineage: Eukaryota; Metazoa; Chordata; Mammalia; Diprotodontia; Phascolarctidae
Source: RefSeq, a predicted model, not a curated record
AGAGGCUCUGCCGGCCAAUAGCAAGCGAAAGACAACUAACGUUGGUGACUGGGCAGAAUGAGCACUCACAGUUUUGAUGACCACUUGGUCGCAUUGGAUGGACUCUCUUGUGACUUCACAUGGCACCAUUUUCCUGGAAGCCUCCAUAAUUGAGCUCCUUCAAAUAGAGGAAGAUUCCCAAGGAAUUCCAAAGUUCUGAGCAUUUACCACCACCAUGCCAAAUAAAUAAAGGCAAUGAAGAACACAGAAGUCACUGUCAGCCCCCCAUCAGGCUGUGGUCCCAUCUUUGCAAAAUCAUUAAGAGAAUAUUCUCUGCAUACCUACAGGACAGAUUCUACUAAAACAGAGAAAGGGCAGGAUGUAGCAAAAUAGUUCCAAAGCACCUGUUUUGUUUCGCUGGGCAUAUUUAUUUUAUAAAGGUUUUUUCUUUUCCACUUGGGGUAAA